Molecule: long non-coding RNA, 1747 nt
Filed under: Olea europaea (common olive)
Lineage: Eukaryota; Viridiplantae; Streptophyta; Magnoliopsida; Lamiales; Oleaceae
Description: long non-coding RNA (OEUR_LNC012397)
Source: RNAcentral
CCAUAUCUUACCCCCAAAUUCUGUGUUAGUAACUACUUUUGGAAGACCCAACUUCCUACCAAACUUAGGAGCCUGAUUGGAAGACACUAUCAGCUCCAAUAUAGCAACAAAUGAAACCUUAAAAUUUUUUUAUUAAGUGUUUAAGAUGUCGAGUGGUGGCAAAAUUUCCCACUCCCUUGCAUUCCAUACAAGGAAUGCGUUCAUAUCAAAGAUGCUUGUGGGGAUCCCCAACUAAAAGGUCAGAGAUCAGUACCAUUUUUUUGUUACGUCUGAUAUUGGCUGCAAUGUCUAGUAUAUCCGUAUCAGAAUGACAACCUCCAUCCCUGCCAACAUCGAAAGAGUAAUCCAGAGGGUCUUUUCCAACUUCCAAGUGCAAUUGAUCAAUUAACACAUCGAAUGAAUUUCGAAUAGGAAUGUCUUCCACUAAACGAUUGGGGAGCAUAGAUUGGGGAGAAGAAAGGGAUCUACUACAAUCUGGUGAAAUUUUCUCAAUCCCAGUAGUGCUUCUAGAGCUCAAAAGUCCAGUUUCUUUUAACCUCUUAUUUGUCUCGACCUCAUCCUUGGCAUCAUUGUCUGUUGUAACCUCAUUUUCCUCAUUAGGCAAAAUGUUGGGAGCUUUCUGUGAAGACUCUUUAGGUUUGUGUGUCCCUUCUAGUUUCUCAUUGUGCAAGACAUCUUCCUUACAUGGUAACGGCUUAACAACCUCUGUAGCAUCGUCCCCUUUACUCGGGGGGAUGAAUUUCCACUAAGUUGUCCUGCUCAUUUUUCGAUAACUGUUCAACCUUGUUUUCACCUUUCUUAUCAAUUUGUAAUGGCAUAUGUUUCUGUGUUGGCUUUCUAACUGCACUGUUAAGUCCUUGCCUUCUAUUGCUGCUUGAAAUAUCAUGUCCAUGAAGAUGACUGUGAUUGCAAUACUUGGGGGUUCUUUCGUAAUGUAUUUCUUGCCAAAGACCCGAUGAAUUAUCCUUUCCAGUACCAAUCCAAAUCAGGUCUUCACGUGGCUGUGACAAGUCAAUUUCAAUGCAAACUCUUGCAAAACUAGGCCUUGUGAAUGUAAUUGUUGGCAGGUCAGAACUGAGAUAACUACCUAGAGGCUUGACCAAUGCCUAUAAAUACAAAGGAAUGCAGAAAUUUUGGGGAAGUAAAGGGAGACGAACCCAAACUGGAGCAACAGGGGAUUCAUCAGUCAGUUUAAAAUCACGAGACCAUUUAAACAAUCGAAAUAAGGAGCCAUCAAUCUCAAGGGAUUCCAGAGUCCAAGCCUUGUUAAAAUCCUUGACGUUUUGGAGUUUAAUCAAUACAUGAUGCCGAUCCAGUAAACUGACAAUAGGGACGGCAGACAAUCCCCAUUUCGUACUAAUAAAGUGAUGAAGGACAUCCAUUCUAGGCCUUGUCUUAGAGAAUUUGGCAAUGAGGGCAAACUGUAGGGGUGCCUCAGAUCACUGCAAUUCCAGGGGAGUGAAGAUUAUUGUCGGUUUACCAUCCUUAAAUUCUGGUUGACGCACUGAAACAGAGACAUCAACCACUGUUAUGUUGGAGAGGUCAGGGCGAUUUGUAGGAGAAUCGAAAAUCACAGCGGCAUACAAUCGUCCAGAUCCCGUAGACUGGGGACCAGCCUUAGAGGAAUCAGGCCGUUCAGAACACGGCAAAGCAUCAUGGAGAUCGGCCAUGGCGGCAGAUCCCACGAGGGGUGACGACGAGGGAUUUAGGGGUUCGAAGAUCAGGGCUAAACUUAGGCAUAGUCUAC